This is a long non-coding RNA of Gadus chalcogrammus (walleye pollock), 4134 nucleotides long. RefSeq lists it as uncharacterized. The record is from RefSeq and is a predicted model, not a curated record. The transcript has 8 exons. NCBI's taxonomy places the organism in Eukaryota, Metazoa, Chordata, Actinopteri, Gadiformes, Gadidae.
CCACCUCCAUCCAAAAUAAAACGUGUGCCGAGGACCAAUUGUUGCUUUUGCAACUUAGUUCUGAACAAGAAGAACAUCAAACUGCACAUAAGAAGGCGGCACUCCUCUAGGGCACCUGACAUAAAUCAGGAAAGGCAUCUUGCCUCUGUGUGUGUGGACCACCUGAAAGGAAUUUUUGUGGUAAGGAGAAGCUUCACUGGACCAGCGAACCCAGUCCAUGUACAAAGAUGCACAUGGGGAGUGGAGCAUCGUGUGGUCUGUGAAUUGGAGGAGUGCAAAAGGGCGUUGCAGUUUGCAGCGAGAAGUGGGAUUGCAGGUUUCCAGUGCGUCCAUUUAAAAUCACGUCACGUACUGCCCAGUGUCAAAGUCCAACGACACGGUUCUGGAGGAAAAUGUGCUAAAUGACAUGGUGGGGAAAAAAUGGUUUUCCUCCAGCACGAAGAGAACCUGUCUGGAGAGACAAGCUGUAGCUCGUGCUUCCUCAUCCCCUCUGAGCACAGUUGUGCAAAUGGACAAUGACCGUAAAAUAUACCUGUCCGUCCAUGAGCCGAGAACAACUUACUUCUCCAGGUUGGGCAGAGUCUUGGUAUGCUAUGACCCACAUAAAAACACGUGGCACUGCCCAUGUUCCACACCCAGGAUGCCAUGCCCGCACAAGGCAAUUGGUAAGUGGCACUUAAACCAAAGUCAUCCAAGCCUUUUCCAGAGAAUUCGGAGCACAGACCAAGACGCAGCCAUACACACAGACAUUGGCCCUGCACCAGAGGGCAACAGCUGUCCUACAGAGGAAAAGGCAUUGCUCAGGCAGAUGUAGCCACAUUCCACAGAGUGUGGUGUCUGUGGUAAUCUGUACAGAUACCAGGAAUGGAGUGAGGGGCUCCACAACUUCAACGACCACGUUAUUCUGUCGCUCCAUCUCUGCAUCUUGCUGCGGCAGUCUUUACAAAAUCACACUGCGGUUGGCAGGCAGCUGGACAUUUUGGAGGCAACCCACCAAACCAAGUAUGCCAGCCACGACUCCAUUUUACACGGCUAUUUACACUUCGAAGCCCUGUCAUCCCACGAUCACAACUUUUCAUGUGUAAAUUGUGGGGACCACCCAGCUGUCGUUGUGAUGGACUUACACAAGAAGGGUGUUUUCAAAAUGGCAGGUAUGUGUUGGUUUUCUACUUCACGCAAUGUAAAUUCCCAAUUCUGUUCUUUUUAUGAGAAAGGGAUGUGUUCCAGUGAGUGACAUCAAAGAUCCACCACCUGAUUUUAAUGGACGUGUCAACAUAGAAGAUUUCUGGAGUUCGGGCAGUGAGGAAAUUGUCUGCCGUGGCUUUUUGAAAAGCAACAGUAACAAUCCAUGCGGUGUAAAGCCAUCAUAUUUGAACUGGGCCCCAUGGAUUGGUCCACGAACAAGGGCCAGUGAUGUUGUGCUGAACACAGAGUACACAAAAGUGAAGCCGACAAAGCCUACCGACCAAGCAACCCUAGAUUUGGCAGAGGAUCACUUGGUGGACCAAUUGAUGAAAUUGAAGGCUGCUGACUUGUGGAAUUUGGUGAAGGGCUGUGGCUUGGAUGCGACCGGAUCAAAAAUGGACCUCCUGCUCCGCCUGAGGGAGGAGAUGAAGACACGGAGCAUGUAUGAUAAAGUAUUUGAAAAGGUUUGGGGAGCAUCUGGUAAGUUGCACUUACUUUUAGAGAAAAAGGGUUAUUUAUAAUGUGUGUAGUUGUACAUUAUUAUGCUAUUCCACUGCUAUAACACUGACCUUUUCUGUAACGUAUUUGCCAGGUGGUUGGGCGGUCAUCAUGUGCCCCUGUGGAAUUGUGAACGCAGUUAAAUUCAACCUCCGAGCCGAAAGUCCACGGGACUAUGCAGACAUGCUCCUUUCCUUCAGGCACUUCCCCAAUGUUGUAUGAUUUUGCCAGGGGGCUUGUGGCACACACAAACCUAAGGGAACCUGGAGACCUUCCAUUCCAACCGAACGAAGGGAGAGUAGCCGCAGCGACCCCUGAUAAUAUCUCCGCUGCCAAGAAAGGGGAGAUAAAGAUCAAUUUCCCUUGGCUGAUCCAGCAGAAGGUCCCCGCUGAUGCUGGUGGUCAUCCGGCCACUGGUUGCGCAGAGCACUACGCGUUAUACGACACGUUCCACCAGCAGAACACCAAGGAUGACCGGGACGCCCUGCGCCUCAUCAAGCUGGUGCCUGAGCUGUGUGGCUGGGUCAAUUCGCAGGUGGCAGAGCAGCUGUUUGCGGACAUGAAAAAGAACAACUAUUUCAUGAAUAUGAUCUCGGCAGUGGAGGCUUCUCCAUUGAGGAGAGGGAGGAAGAUCCUCCCUAACAUUGUUGAGAAUAAAAAAUGUAGAUGCCCAGACUAUUGUAAUGAAUUAAUGCCCUUAAAUAUGACUACUUUAUUGCCUUUGAAUAUAUAAUGUUCGUUUCCCUGGGUAAAGGGACAUUAGCACCCCCUAUCGCUUAUUGACAAUUACUUCAGGGAGGAAGGUCCUCCGUCGCCCUCCGUUGACUCCCAUUCAUUUCCCCGAAAGUACUGGCGGCCGGUGGAUAACAUGGGUUUCAAUGGGAGAGAGGAGGAAAGUCCUCCUCUGAGUGGGUGGGACCUUAAGGGGUCUGAUUCGCGCAAAAAUCUAUCCGUCUGCCUGUGAACCAAUAAGCAGGAUCCCUGGAUGUUGAGCAGCGUUGCCAGAUUGGUCAGAUUUCCCACCCAAUUGGGCUACUUUUAACCAUGUUAGGCUGGAAAAAUUAUCAUUCGGCGGGAAAUCUGCCCAAUCUGGCAACGCUGUCGAUAACAAACCCGGUCUGCAUUGCCGCGGUGCUCAGUCAGAGACGCAGAGCAAGUGAAAUCUGCGAUAGCGAGAUCCUAAAUGUACAAUGGAAACAUUGGAAACGGAGGACAUUGUUAACGUCUUAUUAAAAAAAGCAUUCAAUUCAUUGAGUUACAGUGCUAAGUUAGCGACCAAAGAAAGAGGUAGACCACUUCCCAAAAUCAAGGUGACCAGAAGUAAUGGCAACGUCAUUGUUGUGAGUGCUACAUGGUUUGCUAGGUACGCAUGGCUUACUGGUAGCAUUACAAGCAAUCGACUUUAUUGCUGGCCCUGUUUGCUUAUGAAUAAUAGCAAAUCUCCAACGUGGGCUGUUCAUGGUUUCACUGAUGUGGAAAAUCUUGAUAGGGCAACCAAACGCCACGACAAGUGUCAAGAUCACGUUGGUGAGCACCAACGUGAUCUUGACACCCGUCGAGAUCUAGGCCCAAUGAUAGGCCCAGAUUUUUUUAUUUACUUUUACAAAUCAAUAGUAGGCCUGAUUUGACUAAUAUGCUUUGCAUCCUUUCCUUCUCAAAUUACAGUGAUGCCACUGGUGGCUUUGUAUAAAUUGUAUUCACAUAACUCCCUCCCUGCUAUUUUGUAGUUCACCAAAACACCUUGAAACAACUUGAGUCUCACAUUCUUAUGCCACCAUACACCACCUCCAGCGCCCGCUCCAGCGCCUGCAUCGCCGCCUCAAGCGCCCGCUCCAGCGCCCGCAUCAGCGCCCGCUCCAGCGCCACCCUGUGCUGACCAUUGCUACGCCAUCCCUGCUUGUGGGCCACACUGUGCUGCCGAGACCAAUUUGACAACUAUCAGGCCCUGCAGACGAGACUGGACACAAGGAGGACAUCAUCCUGUCCAAGAGGAAUUGAUGAACUACGUCCUGGAUGAGCGUCGUCCCAGCAACGAGCUGCUAGUUAAAGACGGGCCAACCUGUUUAAUACGGGAAAAUGUUUUAACGCUUGGCAAAAACAAGCACAUGGACUCUAUGGUGGGUGACAUAUUGGUGUAAAAGUUACAGACUGACUAGCUGCCUGUAAGCAGGGUUUCUACGCGUCCUGGAAAACCUGGACAUUUAGAGAUUUGUUUUCCAGUCCUGGAAAAUGGUUUUUGAAAAAGAGUGGGAACCCUGCUGUAAGUAUUUCUUUUUUAAAGGUACAACAUCUCUGGCCCGCCGAGUGUCAUUGUACUUGUAAAUGAAAAUUAAAGCUUUCUAUGGUGAUUAACUUGUCUAUUCUAGGUGGGAAACGCUUGUUUGCACUUGGUCAAGGAGAUGGCCGAACAUCAAGGAAAAGAUGUAUUUCUUCUUGACCUCCACAUCCCCC